AUACGUAGGUGGCGAGCGUUGUCCGGAAUUAUUGGGCGUAAAGAGCAUGUAGGCGGCUUAAUAAGUCGAGCGUGAAAAUGCGGGGCUCAACCCCGUAUGGCGCUGGAAACUGUUAGGCUUGAGUGCAGGAGAGGAAAGGGGAAUUCCCAGUGUAGCGGUGAAAUGCGUAGAUAUUGGGAGGAACACCAGUGGCGAAGGCGCCUUUCUGGACUGGUUCUGACGCUGAGAUGCGAAAGCCAGGGUAGCGAACGGGAUUAGAUACCCCGGUAGUCCUGGCCGUAAACGAUGGGUACUAGGUGUAGGAGGUAUCGACCCCUUCUGUGCCGGAGUUAACGCAAUAAGUACCCCGCCUGGGGAGUACGGCUGCAAGGUUGAAACUCAAAUGAAUUGACGGGG
This 396-nucleotide ribosomal RNA is filed under the name uncultured bacterium. RNAcentral's name for it is "partial 16S ribosomal RNA". It matches the Rfam family "Bacterial small subunit ribosomal RNA", at positions 523 to 918 of the family's 1533-position model. The record is from RNAcentral.